RNAcentral lists this ribosomal RNA (590 nucleotides) under Cellulomonas sp. CATR-124. Its description in RNAcentral is "bacterial SSU rRNA". It matches the Rfam family "Bacterial small subunit ribosomal RNA", at positions 272 to 872 of the family's 1533-position model. Lineage: Bacteria; Bacillati; Actinomycetota; Actinomycetes; Micrococcales; Cellulomonadaceae. The record is from RNAcentral.
GGCGACGACGGGUAGCCGGCCUGAGAGGGCGACCGGCCACACUGGGACUGAGACACGGCCCAGACUCCUACGGGAGGCAGCAGUGGGGAAUAUUGCACAAUGGGCGAAAGCCUGAUGCAGCGACGCCACGUGAGGGAUGACGGCCUUCGGGUUGUAAACCUCUUUCAGCAGGGAAGAAGCGCAAGUGACGGUACCUGCAGAAGAAGCGCCGGCUAACUACGUGCCAGCAGCCGCGGUAAUACGUAGGGCGCAAGCGUUGUCCGGAAUUAUUGGGCGUAAAGAGCUCGUAGGCGGUUUGUCGCGUCUGCUGUGAAAACCUCAGGCUCAACCUGGGGCUUGCAGUGGGUACGGGCAGACUAGAGUGCGGUAGGGGUGACUGGAAUUCCUGGUGUAGCGGUGGAAUGCGCAGAUAUCAGGAGGAACACCGAUGGCGAAGGCAGGUCACUGGGCCGCAACUGACGCUGAGGAGCGAAAGCAUGGGGAGCGAACAGGAUUAGAUACCCUGGUAGUCCAUGCCGUAAACGUUGGGCACUAGGUGUGGGGCUCAUUCCACGAGCUCUGUGCCGCAGCAAACGCAUUAAGUGCCCCGC